This 344-nucleotide transfer-messenger RNA is filed under the name uncultured Bariatricus sp. It matches the Rfam family "transfer-messenger RNA". From Rfam's summary of the family: Bacterial tmRNA, also known as 10Sa RNA or SsrA, is named for its dual tRNA and mRNA-like properties. Its role is to liberate the mRNA from a stalled ribosome. Lineage: Bacteria; Bacillati; Bacillota; Clostridia; Lachnospirales; Lachnospiraceae. The record is from RNAcentral.
GGGCUUGUACUGGUUUCGACGGGGGUUUAGAAGUUGGGGAAGCCAUCCGUAGCGGGGAACUACGUUAAAAGCUCCACUUAAAUAUAAACGCAGACGAUAGAGUAGCGUUAGCUGCCUAGUUGCAGCAGUCGGCCCUGAGUCUCUCAUCGCCCAGGAUACCGGCUUCGAUUAGAUGAGGCACUUCACUCCCUAAGCUUUGCGGGAAUGGAAGAAUUUAUGAAGCUACUGAAGUUUGCAGCCUGUCAUUAGGCGGCGGAUGGAGGGAAUGAAAAAGUAAUGACUGUGAUGGGAGAUGCCACAAUGGAAGAGCUUUCGGACGCGGGUUCGAUUCCCGCCAGGUCCAU